This 520-nucleotide ribosomal RNA is filed under the name Fusarium avenaceum. Its description in RNAcentral is "eukaryotic LSU rRNA". The stretch from base 182 to 335 matches the Rfam family "5.8S ribosomal RNA". The record is from RNAcentral. Lineage: Eukaryota; Fungi; Ascomycota; Sordariomycetes; Hypocreales; Nectriaceae.
UCCGUAGGUGAACCUGCGGAGGGAUCAUUACCGAGUUUACAACUCCCAAACCCCUGUGAACAUACCUUGAGGUAGCCUCGGCGGAUCAGACCGCGCCCUGUAAAGCGGGGCGGCCAAAAAGAGGACCCAAACUCUAAUGUUUCUUAUUGUAACUUCUGAGUAAAACAAACAAAUAAAUCAAAACUUUCAACAACGGAUCUCUUGGUUCUGGCAUCGAUGAAGAACGCAGCAAAAUGCGAUAAGUAAUGUGAAUUGCAGAAUUCAGUGAAUCAUCGAAUCUUUGAACGCACAUUGCGCCCGCUGGUAUUCCGGCGGGCAUGCCUGUUCGAGCGUCAUUUCAACCCUCAAGCCCCCGGGUUUGGUGUUGGGGAUCGGCUCUGCCUUACGGCGGUGCCGCCCCCGAAAUACAUUGGCGGUCUCGCUGCAGCCUCCAUUGCGUAGUAGCUAACACCUCGCAACAGGGACGCGGCGCGGCCAUGCCGUAAAACCCCAACUUCUGAAUGUGACCUCGGAUCAGGUA